AUCCUUUUCUGGUUCAUAAGCAUAAUGAUUGGGUGCUCGUACAUUUGUAUGACAUGUGCCUCCCUUAAAUCUUGUUACGCAUUUGGCACUUCACCUAUCUGAUG
Small nucleolar RNA from Sorex araneus (European shrew), 104 nucleotides. The record is from Ensembl. NCBI's taxonomy places the organism in Eukaryota, Metazoa, Chordata, Mammalia, Eulipotyphla, Soricidae.